This is a long non-coding RNA of Balaenoptera acutorostrata (minke whale), 762 nucleotides long. RefSeq lists it as uncharacterized. The transcript is spliced from 3 exons. The record is from RefSeq and is a predicted model, not a curated record. Lineage: Eukaryota; Metazoa; Chordata; Mammalia; Artiodactyla; Balaenopteridae.
AAAGGAAGUGCCCGCCUUCGCGCAGCCUCUUAUACUAGCCAAGCGGACCAAUCGGCGCCCGAGUCUACCGGAAGAGGCGGGACUAGAACAUCUCGCGACAAUACACCAAAGACGCCUGCGCAGACACGUAUCUCGCUUGUUUGCGGGUUCAAAAAGUUAAUAGGCGUUUGCAGACGCUAGUUCCCGAGGCUUGGGUAAAAUCUUAGGGCUUGUGAACAGUAAAAAUAUUUUUAGCAAAAAGUUGCCUAGAUAAACAGGUAUCACUCCCACCUGCUGUAGCCCGUGUGAGAGUGUUUAAGCAGGCAGUGACCUGCUGAAGAGCAGGAAACAGGUUUUAACCUGGAGGUCCCGGUGCUUAGUGCAGCUUCUCGGAUAAAAUGCUAAGUGAAUAUAGGAGAAAAUGAGAAACCUGCAACGUUACUGUAGCAGAGGCAUUUGAGCGCCUACUGUGACCCAGGCACUGAGCCACACUCUGCAAGGAUUCAUUUAAUCCUCACCCAGCAUAAGAGCUUGUGGGAUCUUAGUUCCUGGUGCAGGGAUCGAACUCGGGCCCUCAGCAGUGAAGGCGCAGAGUCCUAACCACGGACUGCCAGGGAAUUCCCUCAAGUGACAGUACAGUCAAAGGUGAUGUCGUUUCUCGAGUGCUUCAACCAGCCUGGGGAGAGUCCGCUCGUCAUUGAUAUCCAAAAUUUCGCAGGAUGGCAGAGGUGGAAAACUCUGCAAAACCACUUCUGAAACCAGCAGUUCUGUAUUGAGUUAUUA